CAAGAUCGAACUGAAGAGUUUGAUCCUGGCUCAGAUUGAACGCUGGCGGCAUGCCUUACACAUGCAAGUCGAACGGUAACGCGGGGCAACCUGGCGACGAGUGGCGAACGGGUGA
Molecule: ribosomal RNA, 115 nt
Filed under: Rubrivivax sp.
Lineage: Bacteria; Pseudomonadati; Pseudomonadota; Betaproteobacteria; Burkholderiales; Sphaerotilaceae
Description: partial 16S ribosomal RNA
Rfam family: Bacterial small subunit ribosomal RNA
Source: RNAcentral